RNAcentral lists this ribosomal RNA (724 nucleotides) under uncultured beta proteobacterium. RNAcentral's name for it is "bacterial SSU rRNA". It matches the Rfam family "Bacterial small subunit ribosomal RNA", at positions 580 to 1302 of the family's 1533-position model. The record is from RNAcentral. Lineage: Bacteria; Pseudomonadati; Pseudomonadota; Betaproteobacteria.
UUCGUAAGACAGAUGUGAAAUCCCCGGGCUUAACCUGGGAACUGCGUUUGUGACUGCGAGACUGGAGUGUGGCAGAGGGGGGUGGAAUUCCACGUGUAGCAGUGAAAUGCGUAGAGAUGUGGAGGAACACCGAUGGCGAAGGCAGCCCCCUGGGUUAACACUGACGCUCAUGCACGAAAGCGUGGGGAGCAAACAGGAUUAGAUAACCUGGUAGUCCACGCCCUAAACGAUGCGAACUAGGUGUUGGAGAAGGAGACUUCUUUAGUACCGUAGCUAACGCGUGAAGUUCGCCGCCUGGGGAGUACGGUCGCAAGAUUAAAACUCAAAGGAAUUGACGGGGACCCGCACAAGCGGUGGAUGAUGUGGAUUAAUUCGAUGCAACGCGAAAAACCUUACCUACCCUUGACAUGCCAGGAACCCUGCUGAGAGGUGGGGGUGCUCGAAAGAGAGCCUGGGCACAGGUGCUGCAUGGCUGUCGUCAGCUCGUGUCGUGAGAUGUUGGGUUAAGUCCCGCAACGAGCGCAACCCUUGUCAUUAGUUGCCAUCAUUUAGUUGGGCACUCUAAUGAGACUGCCGGUGACAAACCGGAGGAAGGUGGGGAUGACGUCAAGUCCUCAUGGCCCUUAUGGGUAGGGCUUCACACGUCAUACAAUGGUCGGUACAGAGGGUUGCCAAGCCGCGAGGUGGAGCCAAUCCCAGAAAGCCGAUCGUAGUCCGGAUCGUA